UUUUAUGGAGAGUUUGAUCCUGGCUCAGGACGAACGCUGGCGGCGUGCCUAAUACAUGCAAGUCGAGCGAAGUUUAUGGGAGCUUGCUCCUAAUAAACUUAGCGGCGGACGGGUGAGUAACACGUGGGCAACCUGCCUGUAAGACUGGGAUAACCCCGGGAAACCGGAGCUAAUACCGGAUAAGCUGUUAGUACGCAUGUAGAUAACAGGGAAAGAUGGCGCAAGCUAUCACUUACAGAUGGGCCCGCGGCGCAUUAGCUAGUUGGUAGGGUAACGGCCUACCAAGGCGACGAUGCGUAGCCGACCUGAGAGGGUGAUCGGCCACACUGGGACUGAGACACGGCCCAGACUCCUACGGGAGGCAGCAGUAGGGAAUCUUCCGCAAUGGACGAAAGUCUGACGGAGCAACGCCGCGUGAGUGAUGAAGCCCCGGCUAACUACGUGCCAGCAGCCGCGGUAAUACGUAGGGGGCAAGCGUUGUCCGGAAUUAUUGGGCGUAAAGCGCGCGCAGGCGGCUCUUUAAGUCUGAUGUGAAAGCCCACGGCUCAACCGUGGAGGGUCAUUGGAAACUGGGGAGCUUGAGUGCAGGAGAGGAAAGUGGAAUUCCAUGUGUAGCGGUGAAAUGCGUAGAUAUAUGGAGGAACACCAGUGGCGAAGGCGGCUUUCUGGCCUGUAACUGACGCUGAGGCGCGAAAGCGUGGGGAGCAAACAGGAUUAGAUACCCUGGUAGUCCACGCCGUAAACGAUGAGUGCUAGGUGUUAGGGGUUUCGACGCCCUUAGUGCCGCAGUUAACACAUUAAGCACUCCGCCUGGGGAGUACGGCCGCAAGGUUGAAACUCAAAGGAAUUGACGGGGGCCCGCACAAGCAGUGGAGCAUGUGGUUUAAUUCGAAGCAACGCGAAGAACCUUACCAGGGCUUGACAUCCCGUUGACCGGUGUAGAGAUACAUCUUUUUCUUCGGAAACAACGGUGACAGGUGGUGCAUGGUUGUCGUCAGCUCGUGUCGUGAGAUGUUGGGUUAAGUCCCGCAACGAGCGCAACCCUUGAUCUUAGUUGCCAGCAUUAAGUUGGGCACUCUAAGGUGACUGCCGGUGACAAACCGGAGGAAGGUGGGGAUGACGUCAAAUCAUCAUGCCCCUUAUGUCCUGGGCUACACACGUGCUACAAUGGCUGGUACAAAGGGUAGCGAAGCCGUGAGGCCAAGCCAAUCCCAAAAAGCCAGUCUCAGUUCGGAUUGUAGGCUGCAACUCGCCUACAUGAAGCCGGAAUUGCUAGUAAUCGCGGAUCAGCAUGCCGCGGUGAAUACGUUCCCGGGCCUUGUACACACCGCCCGUCACACCACGAGAGUUUGCAACACCCAAAGUCGGUGAGGUAACCAAUAUGGAGCCAGCCGCCUAAGGUGGGGCAGAUGAUUGGGGUGAAGUCGUAACAAGGUAGCCGUAUCGGAAGGUGCGGCUGGAUCACCUCCUUUCUAUGGAG
RNAcentral lists this ribosomal RNA (1480 nucleotides) under Vulcanibacillus modesticaldus. RNAcentral describes it as "bacterial SSU rRNA". It matches the Rfam family "Bacterial small subunit ribosomal RNA". Lineage: Bacteria; Bacillati; Bacillota; Bacilli; Caryophanales; Bacillaceae. The record is from RNAcentral.